Molecule: ribosomal RNA, 253 nt
Filed under: uncultured bacterium
Lineage: Bacteria
Description: partial 16S ribosomal RNA
Rfam family: Bacterial small subunit ribosomal RNA
Source: RNAcentral
UACGUAGGGUGCAAGCGUUGUCCGGAAUUAUUGGGCGUAAAGAGCUCGUAGGCGGUUUGUCGCGUCGAAUGUGAAAACCCGGGGCUCAACCCCGGGCCUGCAUUCGAUACGGGCAGACUAGAGUUCGGUAGGGGAGACUGGAAUUCCUGGUGUAGCGGUGAAAUGCGUAGAUAUCAGGAGGAACAUCGAUGGCGAAGGCAGCCCCUUGGACCUGUACUGACGCUCAUGCACGAAAGCGUGGGGAGCAAACAGG